UGAUGAGCCAUUCUCUCAGAGAAUAUCAGCCGGUUCCUUUCAUAGCCAAGCUCAUCAGCAUGUCUGGUGAUUGUGCAUUGUGGUAUCUGCAAACAAGCGAUAUAUAUUCCACGGGCCACCCUUUCAGGGUGUUUGUAAGAUUCAUGUUAAAAAAGAUGGGCUUUGGUUUGCUUCCAAGUCACGAAAACGUGGCUCUACUGCUUUAGCUGAUGAAAUAAGAAGGCGCCUCAGAGACAUCUAUGCUUUGCUGGACUGUCUUCUUUCCUUCAGGAGCCCCAGGAUGUAAACACGUAAACGACUAUUCAAGGCCAGGUUCCCUGAGAGCCUCAACUGGAGUUCCUCUCCCUGGGGAAGUGAUGAUAAUGACUUUUUCUUUGGCAAAUCCCUUUCUAUCCUUAUCUCCUUGCAGGAUUGUACAACCCUUCUGUCCAGUGGCCCUGGGAACUUCUAGGACUUCCUGAGCCUGUUUUUGCCUAUUUAUUGUGCUGUUUCCUCUGGAAGCUGCUUCAACACUUAAUCUGGUGAAUGCUGGGGUCAAAGGAAGUGCGUAGACUUGACCCAGGCUCUGCAUCCCUCCUCUAGUGCCCCACGCUCUCUCUGGAUCCUAGUCAUACCAGCCAUCUCCAGGCCCUCCAGGAUCCUUUGCUUCUGCCCUCCUCAUAAGGAUAGAGUAAAGGGGCAAAGUAGGUGAUUAAAUAGUUAAUCCCACUAGGGUAUUGUAAGUAGAAAAAAAAAAUAACUUACAGGUUAUUGAUUUACAUUAAUGGUUAGUAAAUUAAUGGUUACUCAGGAAAGCAGGUUUGCUUAACUACAAAACCAGGCAGGCCUGCUUAGCAACAAAACCAUACAACAGAAACAUGAGACAUGACCCCAAACAAUAAAACAGUGGUGGCUUAAGACCCA
Bos indicus x Bos taurus (hybrid cattle) is the source of this 903-nucleotide long non-coding RNA. NCBI's taxonomy places the organism in Eukaryota, Metazoa, Chordata, Mammalia, Artiodactyla, Bovidae. The record is from Ensembl.